Molecule: ribosomal RNA, 1028 nt
Filed under: human gut metagenome
Description: bacterial LSU rRNA
Rfam family: Bacterial large subunit ribosomal RNA
Source: RNAcentral
AGAAUGUUAUCACGGGAGACACACGGCGGGUGCUAACGUCCGUCGUGAAGAGGGAAACAACCCAGACCGCCAGCUAAGGUCCCAAAGUCAUGGUUAAGUGGGAAACGAUGUGGGAAGGCCCAGACAGCCAGGAUGUUGGCUUAGAAGCAGCCAUCAUUUAAAGAAAGCGUAAUAGCUCACUGGUCGAGUCGGCCUGCGCGGAAGAUGUAACGGGGCUAAACCAUGCACCGAAGCUGCGGCAGCGACACUAUGUGUUGUUGGGUAGGGGAGCGUUCUGUAAGCCUGUGAAGGUGGCCUGUGAGGGUUGCUGGAGGUAUCAGAAGUGCGAAUGCUGACAUAAGUAACGAUAAAGCGGGUGAAAAGCCCGCUCGCCGGAAGACCAAGGGUUCCUGUCCAACGUUAAUCGGGGCAGGGUGAGUCGACCCCUAAGGCGAGGCCGAAAGGCGUAGUCGAUGGGAAACAGGUUAAUAUUCCUGUACUUGGUGUUACUGCGAAGGGGGGACGGAGAAGGCUAUGUUGGCCGGGCGACGGUUGUCCCGGUUUAAGCGUGUAGGCUGGUUUUCCAGGCAAAUCCGGAAAACCAAGGCUGAGGCGUGAUGACGAGGCACUACGGUGCUGAAGCGACAAAUGCCCUGCUUCCAGGAAAAGCCUCUAAGCAUCAGGUAACAUCAAAUCGUACCCAAAACCGACACAGGUGGUCAGGUAGAGAAUACCAAGGCGCUUGAGAGAACUCGGGUGAAGGAACUAGGCAAAAUGGUGCCGUAACUUCGGGAGAAGGCACGCUGAUAUGUAGGUGAAGCGACUUGCUCGUGGAGCUGAAAUCAGUCGAAGAUACCAGCUGGCUGCAACUGUUUAUUAAAAACACAGCACUGUGCAAACACGAAAGUGGACGUAUACGGUGUGACGCCUGCCCGGUGCCGGAAGGUUAAUUGAUGGGGUUAGCGGUAACGCGAAGCUCUUGAUCGAAGCCCCGGUAAACGGCGGCCGUAACUAUAACGGUCCUAAGGUAGCGAAAUUCCUUGUCGGGU